RNAcentral lists this ribosomal RNA (468 nucleotides) under uncultured bacterium. RNAcentral's name for it is "partial 16S ribosomal RNA". It matches the Rfam family "Bacterial small subunit ribosomal RNA", at positions 28 to 507 of the family's 1533-position model. The record is from RNAcentral.
GACGAACGCUGGCGGCGUGCUUAACACAUGCAAGUCGAACGGAAAGGCCCUGCUUUUGUGGGGUGCUCGAGUGGCGCACGGGUGAGUAACACGUGAGUAACCUGCCCUUGACUUUGGGAUAACUUCAGGAAACUGCGGCUAAUACCCGAUAGGAGCUCCUGCUGCAUGGUGGGGGUUGGAAAGUUUCGGCGGUUGUGGAUGGACUCGCAGCUUAUCCGCUUGUUUGUGGGGUAGUUGCUUUCCAAGCCUUUGAAGGAUAGCCGGCCUUGGAGGGUGAACGGCCACAUUGGGCCUGAGAUACGGCGCAGACGCCAACGGGAGGCAGCAGUGGGGAACAUUGCACAGUGGGGGGAAGCCUGAUGCAGCAGCGCUGCGUGCGUGAUGACCGCCUUCGGGUUGUAAACCGCUUUCGACUGUGACGAAGAGGGAGUGACGGUAAUGGGUAAAGAAGCAACGGCUAACUACGUG